CCUACGGGCGGCAGCAGUGGGGAAUAUUGCACAAUGGGCGCAAGCCUGAUGCAGCCAUGCCGCGUGUGUGAAGAAGGCCUUCGGGUUGUAAAGCACUUUCAGCGGGGAGGAAGGCGUUAAGGUUAAUAACCUUGGCGAUUGACGUUACCCGCAGAAGAAGCACCGGCUAACUCCGUGCCAGCAGCCGCGGUAAUACGGAGGGUGCAAGCGUUAAUCGGAAUUACUGGGCGUAAAGCGCACGCAGGCGGUCUGUCAAGUCGGAUGUGAAAUCCCCGGGCUCAACCUGGGAACUGCAUUCGAAACUGGCAGGCUAGAGUCUUGUAGAGGGGGGUAGAAUUCCAGGUGUAGCGGUGAAAUGCGUAGAGAUCUGGAGGAAUACCGGUGGCGAAGGCGGCCCCCUGGACAAAGACUGACGCUCAGGAGCGAAAGCGUGGGGAGCAAACAGGAUUAGAUACCCGUGUAGUC
Molecule: ribosomal RNA, 465 nt
Filed under: uncultured Klebsiella sp.
Lineage: Bacteria; Pseudomonadati; Pseudomonadota; Gammaproteobacteria; Enterobacterales; Enterobacteriaceae
Description: bacterial SSU rRNA
Rfam family: Bacterial small subunit ribosomal RNA
Source: RNAcentral